RNAcentral lists this unclassified non-coding RNA (349 nucleotides) under soil metagenome. RNAcentral describes it as "partial contains 5.8S ribosomal RNA, internal transcribed spacer 2, and large subunit ribosomal RNA". The stretch from base 1 to 120 matches the Rfam family "5.8S ribosomal RNA", at positions 35 to 154 of the family's 154-position model. The record is from RNAcentral.
GAUGAAGAACGCAGCGAAAUGCGAUAAGUAAUGUGAAUUGCAGAAUUCAGUGAAUCAUCGAAUCUUUGAACGCACAUUGCGCCCGCCAGCACUCUGGCGGGCAUGUCUGUCCGAGCGUCAUUUCAACCCUCAGGGCCCCUUCGGGGGACCUGGCGUUGGGGAUCGGCCCGCCCCCGUGCGGCGCCGUCCCCGAAAUAUAGUGGCGGUCUCGCUGCAGCCUCCCCUGCGUAGUAGCACACCUCGCACUGGAGAGCGGCGCGGCCACGCCGUGAAACCCCCAACUUCUGAAUGUUGACCUCGGAUCAGGUAGGAAUACCCGCUGAACUUAAGCAUAUCAAUAAGCGGAGGA